CCUACGGGUGGCAGCAGUGAGGAAUAUUGGUCAAUGGACGCAAGUCUGAACCAGCCAUGUCGCGUGCAGGAUGACUGCUCUAUGAGUUGUAAACUUCUUUUGUACGAGGGUAAACGCAGAUACGCGUAUCUUUUUGCAAGUAUCGUAUGAAUAAGGAUCGGCUAACUCCGUGCCAGCAGCCGCGGUAAUACGGAGGAUUCAAGCGUUAUCCGGAUUUAUUGGGUUUAAAGGGAGCGUAGGCGGGCGGAUAAGUUAGUGGUGAAAUCCUGGGGCUCAACUUCGGAAUUGCAUUUGAUACUGGUCGUCUAGAGAGUAGUUGAGGUAGGCGGAAUGUAUGGUGUAGCGGUGAAAUGCUUAGAGAUCAUACAGAACACCGAUUGCGAAGGCAGCUUACCAAGCUACUUCUGACGUUGAGGCACGAAAGCGUGGGGAUCAAACAGGAUUAGAUACCCUAGUAGUC
RNAcentral lists this ribosomal RNA (460 nucleotides) under uncultured bacterium. RNAcentral's name for it is "partial 16S ribosomal RNA". It matches the Rfam family "Bacterial small subunit ribosomal RNA", at positions 338 to 795 of the family's 1533-position model. The record is from RNAcentral.